Long non-coding RNA from Ochotona princeps (American pika), 652 nucleotides. RefSeq lists it as uncharacterized. NCBI's taxonomy places the organism in Eukaryota, Metazoa, Chordata, Mammalia, Lagomorpha, Ochotonidae. The transcript is spliced from 3 exons. The record is from RefSeq and is a predicted model, not a curated record.
UCUCUGAGCAUGACCAGAGAACUGAGUAUGCUUCAUCACAAAGCCAGCUUUGGGGAUCAGGCCAUGUCCUAGGGGAGCCUUGAUGCAGAGGACAGAGCUGCACUUCUGGAAGACAUGUGCGUCAGUCAACAGUUUGUGCUUGGGGACCUUCCAGGCACUGGAGCCCGGGCCACCAGCUUGGCUCCCUACCCUGUAUUACCAGAUGGAACCUGAGCUACAGGCAGAACCCUUUGCUUUCAUCUUCCUGGAAAGAGCUGCUGUGUGGGGAAGAGGAGAACACAGGGACUGGGCACCAGUUGAUUCCCGCAGAAGAAUCAAGACCAUAGCAGAGGGCGAUUCCUGAGCCUAAACUCCUGUGAGCAAUUGACUGGACACAGGAUUUCUGGUAAUUCAGCAACAGCAUGCAGAGCUAAUUCUGACCUCAGAGGUAGCACUCCUCUGAGAUAACAAAAUGUAUGGGAGGCUGGUGUGCUCAGGUGGGAAGCUUGGGAGCCUGAUGUCAGGGAGGCAGGAUUGUUCACGGUCUUAGGUCAUCUUUCAUGGUAAGGUAGCUCUAAAGCAAAUGCAUGGCAAAAUGAAUCCAUUUGCUUUCCUCUGUUGCCUCCCACUAUAGUAGUUAAGGGUAUCUGUAUAUGAGUACGUGUUGUGGAAC